CAGGAACCACGUCUAGUUCUCUGUGCUGCAAUAUUUGCCACAGACUUACUUAAGCACUAAAAAUGAGAUACAGGAGCUUUGGCUUAAGGAAAUAUAGGCGUGGCUUCCUCUUGAUCCUUCCAGAAUAUCUCUACUAGCAUUGGGAUAGGGUUUGCCCGCCCUCUGGCAUCCUGUCUCACCUGCCUCCAUGCUUCUAAGACCAGGGAGGAGCAAUUGCGCAUCUAAGCUUCGGCUCACACUAUCAGGCUUCAGUUUUCCUCAGGGGUCUCUGUGUAGCGCCAUGGCCAGGCUGUCCUCCUGGCUUGAGUAUGUUCUCAUUUCAAGGCACAUGUUUCUGACUUCAGGGUACUUCCCUGGGUCAUGUGUAUUAUCUCCCCACCUGGUGGUUCAGGGGAGAGGAGCCCGUCUUUUCAAAGAGCUUGGAGUCCCUUGAGCUGUUGAAUAAUAACUUCAUGAAGGUAGGACCAGAGCGAGCUUGGGCUGCUCUGUGAUGCCGCGGUGAAGGGCUUCUCUCCUCCCCUUGUUCAUUCCCUGUUGCUGUAGGAAGGUUGUCUGGCUUUGAACCCUCCCAAGAAGGCGACUUCUCCAACCUGUGACUGUUCCUUUUCCGACGGAAACAAAGCACAGCUGGCCACACAGAUCACUGCAGCUCUUUCAGGAAGCACGGUGAGCCUUUGGGGAAUGAGGCUCGACUCCCAAGGCAUCAACCCGCUUGGAUUGGAAUAAAUUAAGCCCAUUAGGAACUCCUCCUGCAAGCCCCCCUCCACCCUGAGACACCUCUACUCUCCUGCAUGACUGGCUCAUUGAAACUCUUCCCAUCUGUUUCAUCCCCCCAGAUUCUCCAGAGACAUUGAAAUUCCCUGCCUCACAGAAUCCUCCCAGCUGGAGUUUGAAAAAAUGUUAGCCAUGUCUACCAAAGAGAUAUUUAAGGCAAAAGUAUACUAAAGAUUGAAAAUUUUUAAAUGGGAAAAAGAUAGUUCAGGCAGAUUGAACAAAAGCCACAGCAGCAAUUUUAACAUUAGCAAUUAUAAGAUGGAUGAUCCGAGCCUCGUCUGCAACCUAUCCCACAGCUCACGGCAACACCGGAUCGUUAACCCACUGAGCAAGGGCAGGGACCGAACCCGCAACCUCAUGGAUUGUAGUCGGAUUCGUUAACCACUGUGCCACGACGGGAACUCCUAUUUAAAAAAAGUUUAAGUAUAGUUGAUUAAAUGUGCUAAUUUCUGCUGCAUAGCAGAGUGAGUUGGUUUUAUACUCAUACACAUACACACACACACAUUUUUUGAAAAUAAUCUCUUCCACUAUGGUUUAUUGAAUAUAUUGCAUAUGGUUCCCUGUACUAUGCUGUAGGACUUGUUGAUCCAUUCUCUGUAUAAUAGCUAACUCCAACCUCCCACUCCAUCCCUUCUCCAACACCUUCCCCCUUGGCAACCCCAAGUCUGUUCUCUGUAUCCGUGUGUCUAUUUUUGUUUUGUAAAUAGGUUCAUUUGUGUCAUAUUUUAGAUUCCACAUGUAAGUGAUAAACAUAUGGCAUAAGUCCUUCUCUUUCUGACUUAGUGUAAUAAUCUCUAGCUGCAUCCAUGUUGCUAAGAAUGGCAUUAUUUCAUUCUUUUUUAUGGCUGAGUAAUAUUCCAUUGAAUAUUCUCUCCAUUCAACUGUCCAUAGACAUUUAGGUUGUUUUCAUAUCUUGGCUAUUGUGAAGAGUGCUGCUAUGAACAUAAAGGUGCAUGUAUCUUUUUAGUUUUGUCUGAAUAUAUGCCCACGAAUGGGAUUGCUGCAUCACAUUUAGUUUCUCUCUUUAGUUUCCUGAGGAAUCUCCAUACUGUUCUCCAUAGUGGUUGUACCCAUUUACAUUCCCACCAACAGUGUGGGAAGGUUCCUUUUUCUCUGCACCCUCUCCAGCAUCUGUUAUUUGUAGGCUUUUUGAUGAUGGCCAUUCUGACUGGUGUGAGGUGGUACCUCACUGUAGUUUUGAUUUGCUUUGCUUAGAAGUCAUUUUAAAGCACUGAUGGAAAUAGAAAGUGUAAUGUAAAAUAUGAUAGAAACAAGACCCAACAGCUCUCAUGUCUGUCCAGUGUAAAUGGUCCAGAUACACUGGAAGAAAAAGGCUCAAAUUGUAGCAUAAGGAAAACCCAAGUAUACACUAUAUAAAAAAGAGACAUCUUAAAGUGAUUCAGCACAGCUGAAAGUAAAAGGAUGGGGAGUUCCCUUAUGGCGCAGGGGGUUAAGGAUCCGUCGUCCCUGCUGUAGUUUGACCUCUGGCCCAGGAACUUCCACAUGCCGUGGGCACGGCAAAAAGGAAGGAAAGUAAAAAGAUGGGCAGAAGGUCUAUCAGUGAUACAUGUGGAAAAUAAGAUCAAGGAGUGCUGAGAGGCACAUGCACAGCUUCAAAUACUUAUUGUCUCUAAACCUGAAAAGAUGACAUUGUCAGGGAAACAGAAGGGAAGCAGUGUUCCGAACCUCACUGUGAAAGCUGAAUGGGAGCAGAAAGCAGAGAAAAAGGACGCAUGAUAAUAAAGAGUAUAAUUCAUGAAAUCUAAGAUUACGAAUAUGUGUAACCUGAUCACAUUUUUCUUCACAAAAGUGAGAGGAACUACAGAGGGUGAGAAAAGCAUAUUAGUAAACAGAGACUUGCGUUCAUCAUUUUCAGCCCAUGAUGGAGCCAGUUUGUAAAAGAUAAAGAGUUUUGCAGACCUGAACAACAUAAUAAAAUAGGUCUGACUAGCAUAUAUCUAUCAAAUUUUGUCCCUAAAAACAGGCAAGGCCUUUUCAAGUUCCAGAGACAUUUACAAAAAUGGUUCCAUAUUUAGUUGAUGUUUGUCUGCUUCCUCUGAAUGAUGAGCUCUGUGUUAGCCAUAUUUCCCCAGGAACUAACAGAGGUGACCAAUAUUUUUGAAAAAGUGAAAGAAAUAAUGCACACGCACACACACACACACAAAACAAAUGGGCAGGAAGCCGCAGGGUGGGGCAGGGGGGCAGUUUUAUUAUUUGAAUGUUCAUUAUUUGAACAGAAACAAAGGUAUUUCUGUUCAAAUAAUAAACGAAUGUGGAGUUCCCGUUGUGGCUUAGCAGGUUGAGAGCCUGACACAGUCUCUGUGAGCAUGUGGGUUUGAUCCCUAGCCUUGCUCGUGGGUUAAGGCUAAGGUGGCCUGGAUCCGGCGUCGCUGUGGUUGUGGCCUAGGCCGGCAGCCGCAGUUGCAAUUGCACCGCUAGCCCAGGAACUGCCAUGUGCUGCAGGUGCGGCCUUAAAAAAUACACCAAACCAUUUUACCUGUCACCUUGGCAAAACUUAACAUGCUCUAAAUCCUUGCUGUCUGUAUAAAUGGACACCUAGGUACUGUGUCAACUCUGCAAAAUGUCAAGCGGAACAGAUAACACAAACGGUUUUUUCCAGUUCCUGAUCCUCUCAUGGCAACGGCUGAGAUGAGCCAUGACCUUGAGGAGAUGUACUCCCUGUGUUAGGCCACGUCCUAACGCUACCUUUAUUUCAGCGGGUGGCGAGGCCACCGGCAGGGUGACAUAUGGUGCUGAUAGGCCAAAGCUGAGGUCGACACAUUGUGAACAGGCCCCAGGACGUCUGCUUCGCUGUUUGUGCCCAGCACGGUAAGUGCACCUCGUUCAGCUCCCACCCUGGGCUGGCAUUUCGUCUACAGCUGAUGCGUGAAUUUGCCACGUGGAACUCAGACCACAUUUUCACAUAGCAAUGAAGGUGCAUGUCCAGACUACCCCAACAAAAACUAUUUGAGUUAUUGAAUCUUCGAGCUUGAAAGGUCUGUGGAAAUUACUGGUUGAACCUCCUGCUUUCUCCUGUAGCAUCCUGAUGGAUUCUGAUCAAGUAUCUUGGAUUAGGAGAGCCUAUGGCUGGGGGAGAUGGGCCCCCAGGGCUGGUAGGAACAAAGCAAAAUAAGAAGCAAAAGAGAGGAUUUUGAAGAUCCUGCUUCGGAAUCCUGCCUCCUUCAAGUUGGGCUUCUUCCUAGUCUAACCACCUCCAGUAAUAAGAUCUAAUCUCAGCUACAUCCAGAGGGAUCGUUGGAGUCCAUGUGCGUGCAGUAACCACGGGGUUGGAGGACAAGAAUGGUGACAAAUCCAGGUCAUCUUAAACCCUUACGACCCCUUAGUUCCUCGUGUGUUGGCUCAGACUGUGAUUAUUUAAAUAAAGACCUCUGGUUAAUGAUGGCAACUCAAACACAUGCUCCCUCCUGAUGAUAAAACAGCAGUGAAGGAAAAAACUAAAUUCCCAGGAUUAAGUGAAAACGAGCAGCCCAUUUUCCACGUCCAGCCCCACAAAGAAGCAAGGAGGAUCAUCAACCUUCCGACAGAAGAGUGAAGUAUCUACUCCGGGUAUUUUACUAGACACAGGAGAAAAGACCCAAGGAUACCCAUGUUACAGAAGAAGCGAUCUAUUUGGACGAGGCUUCAGGGGAGCCCUGGGUUAGUAAGUGCCACCAAGCCUCAUCCAAGGGCAGAGAGCUUUGUAGGGCCCUGCCCUUAAACGCGAUCAGACAGCCAAGGAUCUCAAAUACAGUUUUUACAAGAAAGUGAAGUAAGUCAGAGGAAGACAAAUAAAUACCAUAUGAUAUCACUUAUAUGUGAAAUCUAAUAAAAAUGAUAUAAAAGAACCUAUUUACAAAACAGAAACGAACAUUUCAAAACCAGUCUUCUGGUUACUGUAGGUGAAGCCAUUGGGUGGCGGGAAGAACUGGGAGGGUGGGAAUAACACGGACUCACUGCUGUAUAAAAUAAAUGAUUGCGAACCUGCUGGAUGGUGCAGGAAAACCUACUCAAUAGCUUGUAGUGAUUUACAUGAGAAAAAAGACUGGAUAUAUUUAUGUAUGUGACGAUUCACUUUGCAGUACACCUGAAAUGAAUACAAUGUAAAUCAACUAUACUCCCGUAAAAGUAAAUUUCAAAAAAUAAAAGAGGCCAAAAUAAACAGUUACGAAGCAACGCGAAGGAAACAGAGACCCCACCAAAUGACCGGAUAAUGAUUGCUGUAUUGGAUCAAAGCUUUCCUGAUAUGAAUGUGAAUAUAAAUGCUUUAAAUAUGUUAAUUUUUUGUGCUGCCCAGGGGACAAAACAGAUGAUACGUGGAAAGACUGAGAAAGUUAAACCCAGUCUAUGCAAUUCAAACAGAAACUCCUGUUCAAAGAACAAUUAUAUUUACAUGGCCCACCACGGAAUUGAAUAAAACAAACACCAGCUUCCAAGAUACAGUGAAAAUCCAGAAUGUCGGAAAAUAAAGGGAGAAGAUGUGUUUGCAGUGCGUGUGUGAGAGUGAGGGCAACGAGAGAACCAGGGUUUUGAAAGAUUCCAAAUCCAGAGGAGGUCGCGUACCUGCUGCCUUUAUCCCUUCAAGUUUGCUUUGGGAGUGGGCACUUGCCACCUAGAAAACCACCGCAGCAAUGACAGGAACUAAUGACUGAAAAAACAUUUUAAGACCACUGAUUGUGGUCUAUAAAGUUUUAGCCUCUAAAAUGCCAUUGAAUAAACAUGUAGUGUUUCUUUUUGUUUGCAUUAAGCUCUAUAAACUACUAGAGCCUGUGGGCCAAAUUCUGCCUGCCACCUGUUUUCGAACAGAUGGAGAGCUAAGAAUAGCUAUAUUUAAAAAAAUUAAACUUUUGAGAUAAUUGUAGAUUUAAAUGCAGUUGUGAACAGUAAUACAGGGAUCCGUGUACCGGCGACCUACCUCUCCCCAGUGUUAACUUCUGCAGACCUUUUCCAGUGACCUAGUACAACCCAGCUGUUGACAUGGGCACCGUCAAGAUACGGAACAGAGCAUCAAGCGCCAAAUGGAUGCGCUGUCCCCCUUUUAUAGCCACACCCACUUCCUCUCGCCCCGCUCGCUCCAUCGUCCCAUGGCAACCGCUCACCUGCUUCUCUUCAUGUCUAUGACUUUGCCAUUUCCAGAAAGUUAUAUAACAAAAUGUAGCCUUUUAGGAUUGACUUUUUUUUGCUCAGUAUAGAGUUCUAUCGGCUUUAUAUGAUAGGAAUCAAUUGUGGUUUUGGUUUUUUUGCUGAGUGGUUAUCUCACGGAAUGAAGGUACCCUGUCCUCCACACCCCCUGCCUUUUAAAACUAUUCACCUGUUCAAGGACAUCUGUGUUUCCAGUUUGGGGUGGUGAUGAAUAAGGCUGCUGUGAACAUUCAUGUAUGGCUUUUGGUGUGUGAACGUAAGUCUUUACUUCUCUGGGAUAAAUGCCAAGGAGUGCAAUUGCUGGGUCAUGUGGCAGCUGCCAAACUGUUUUCUGGAGCCGAGGUACCAUUUUCCACUCCUACCAGCAGUGUGAUCCAAUUUCUCUGGGUUCUUGCCAGCAUUUCGGGUUGUCACUCUUUUGCAUUUUUAGCUAUUCUGAUAGAUCUGUAAUGUUAUCUUACUAUGGUCUUAAUUUGCAUUUCCCUGAUGACUAAUCAUGUUGAACAUUUUUUAUGUGCUUAUUUGCAACCCGUAUAUUCUCUUCAGUGAAAUAUGUCUUUGUAUCUCUUACCGUAUUCUGAUUGGAUUAUUUAUUUCUUUAUUUUUGUACUUAGGUUUUGAGAGACUGGUCUAUAUUCCAGAAGUUAGUUCUUUUUCAGUUUAUGGUUUGCAAGUAUUUUCUCUCGCUAGCUUUUUUCAUUUCCUUAACAGGGCCUUUAGCAGAGCAAAAGUUAAUUUUGAUGACAUCCAGUUUAUCAAUUUUCCCUUGUAUGGAAUGAGCUUUUCCUUUAUAGCUAAGAACACUUUGCCUAGCCUGAGGGCUCAUAGCUUUUGUCCUAUGUUUUUGUUCUGAACAUUUUAUAAAGUCCAUGCUCCAUUUUUAAAAUUUUUUUUAUUGAUUUGGGGGGGGGUGGGGUGUCUGUGGCAUGCAGUGGCUUGAUGUGGGAUUUCAGUUCCCAGACCAGAGGUUGAACCUGGGCUCAGAGUGAAAGCACUGACUCCUAACCACUAGACCACCAGGAAACUCCCCAUACUCCAUUUUUGUGUAAUUUUAAAAUCACCAAUAAAAGUUAAUUCUUGUAUAA
This 6998-nucleotide long non-coding RNA is filed under the name Sus scrofa (pig). Its description in RNAcentral is "lncRNA (ENSSSCG00035013516.1)". The record is from RNAcentral. Lineage: Eukaryota; Metazoa; Chordata; Mammalia; Artiodactyla; Suidae.